RNAcentral lists this long non-coding RNA (1158 nucleotides) under Homo sapiens (human). RNAcentral describes it as "HSALNT0370377". The record is from RNAcentral. Lineage: Eukaryota; Metazoa; Chordata; Mammalia; Primates; Hominidae.
CAAGCAGGGACUUGGAGCAGAUGUCCCAGCUGAAUGGAGCAUAAACAAGAAGUAAACCCUGGUUGUUAUAAGUCACUGACUUUUGGGGAUUAUUUGUUAUUGCAGCAUAAUGUGACCUAUCCUACCUGGUGCAGUUACUCUGGGUGGUGUGUGAAAGGGCUAAAGAAGUUCCUGCAAGAGAAGAGUGGGGCCUGGGUCUGCCUUUCCCAUUGCCAAGAUGCCGUCUGCUGGCAACAUCAUCCAUUAUGACUGAUCAUGGCAAAUGCCGGUCAGCUGGCCUCACAGCAGUUGUUAGGAAAAUAGUCUUUGGCUUGAUUAUGUUAUCUGGCUUUCCCCAAGGAGGAAAAGACUCAGAAUGGAUGGAAGUUGUUUAUAAAUUCUCCUCUGCUGCAUACUGUUAAGAAGGGGAAAGAGGAGUGCUGGACUCACCCUGAAUUCUUUCUUACGCGAGAUCCAAGAAUUGUCUCUUGGGGUCUGUGCUGGGACUGCUUUCCUGUAACAUAUUUCUGGCGUCCACAGAAGGGACUAUAGUGAGGAAACCACUGACUUUGGAUCACUCCCUGCAGGUGAAGCCAACUGCCAUGUUGUGCAGAGGCUCCAGCCUCCCGUGGAGAGGCCCACACGGAGAGGAUCUGCCAUCGCCAGCAGGAGCUUUCCAGCCAUAUGAUUUCUGGCAUGGGAGACACUGAACCAUAACCACCCAGCUAAGCUGCCCCUGGAUUCCUGACCUGCAAGACAUGAAAGUGGAACCUACACUGUCAGCUUUCCUGGUUCUCAGGCCUUUGGACUCAGACUGGAACUGCACCAUCAGCUCUCCUGGGGCUCUAGCUUGUCAAUUACAGGUCUUGGGACUUCACAGCUUUCAUAAUUGCAUGAGCCAAUUCCUGAUUCUCUCUCUCUCUCUCUGUAUAUGUAUGCAAGGAUUCCUCUCGUGGUGACAAGAUGGCUGCCGCAGCUCUGAGAAUCACAUCCUCACAAGAUAGCAUCCAGAUCCAGGAAGGGAAGACAGCCAAAGCAGGAAAGGCACUUUCUCUGCAUGUACCACUCUUUUAUUAAAGGGACUGUGAAGAUUACCUCCUGAAAACCUCUUGUCAGAUUUCUCCUAUGUCUCAUCAGUCAGACCUGGGUUACACGCCCACUUCUAGACCAGUCACUGGA